Molecule: microRNA precursor, 168 nt
Filed under: Pelobates cultripes (western spadefoot toad)
Lineage: Eukaryota; Metazoa; Chordata; Amphibia; Anura; Pelobatidae
Source: RNAcentral
GCAGACACAUUCCAGCCAAUCAGAAGCAGACCCUCCCUCCCAGACCCUCCCACCUCCUGGACAGCAUCCAUUUUACAUUCAUUGUGAAGCUGCAUUCUUAGUGAGCUGUCCAGGAGAUGGGAGGGUCUGGGAGGGAGGGUCUGCUGCUGAUUGGCUGGGAUGUGUCUG